AGAGGACCAGCAACCAUGCAUCUUUGUGACAGGGGUGGCUGAUGAGGACCAGGUCAAGGAGAAGAGUUUUCUUGGUCGUUGUUCACUGCCGGCGACAGCAUGUUGCUAGGGUUCUGUUUGCCCCAUUCAAACGAGUUAUGCCGAGGUCCCUAUUCCGGUGCCAAGUACCAACUUGUAGACUGGGCAGAGUGACUCAUAAUGUUACUGCCGCUGAUCAUGGAAAAAGUGUUCUUUUUGCCCAUUUGAAUUUAAUUUAUUUGUGUGUGCAAAUUGAACCAUUGAUUUUAUUAGCUUAUAUUGGCAAAGGCUACAAAAUAUCAAGAUUAUGAACAGAAAAUUGUUUCUC
RNAcentral lists this long non-coding RNA (346 nucleotides) under Hordeum vulgare. RNAcentral describes it as "long non-coding RNA (HVUL_LNC005488)". Lineage: Eukaryota; Viridiplantae; Streptophyta; Magnoliopsida; Poales; Poaceae. The record is from RNAcentral.